Molecule: unclassified non-coding RNA, 408 nt
Filed under: soil metagenome
Description: partial contains 5.8S ribosomal RNA, internal transcribed spacer 2, and large subunit ribosomal RNA
Rfam family: 5.8S ribosomal RNA (bases 1-121)
Source: RNAcentral
GAUGAAGAACGUAGCGAAAUGCGAUAAGUAGUGUGAAUUGCAGAAGUACCGUGAAUCAUCGAAUCUUUGAACGCAAAUUGCACUCUCUGGUAUUCCGGGGAGUAUGCCUGUUUGAGGGUCGCUUAACAAACCAUCGAUUUCGUUGCUUUUUUUUUUAAAGUGAUGUUUAUCGGAUUUGAGCCGUCUUUUUUUUUAUAUUUAAGUGGCUUAAAAUUGAUUUUUUUGGUACGAUCGAAGCGUAUUUUUAUGAUCAAUUUUUGGUUAAAGAAACGCACACGUACCGUUAUUUAUAUGAUGUAAUACGUUUGACUAUUGGAUUUAGUUCAUUCGUAUACGAUAUCUUUCAAUAUUUGACCUCAAAUCAGGUAAGAACACCCGCUGAACUUAAGCAUAUCAAUAAGCGGAGGA